CUCAAGUAUUAAAGGUAAUGCCUGCCCAGUGACAACUAAACGGCCGCGGGAUCCUCCACCGUGCAAAGGUAGCAUAAUCACUUGUCCCCUAAAUAGUGACUAGUAUGAACGGCCUAAUGAAGAUUUUACUGUCUCUUGCAGCCAAUCUGUGAAACUAAUUUAUUAGUACAAAAGCUAAUAUCUUUACAUAAGACGAAAAGACCCUGUGGAACUUUAAGCAUGUCUCACCAAAUGAUACUACUGCUUUUAGUUGGGGCAACUUUGGAAAUAAACAAAACUUCCAAUACCUGACAAGAUAAACAUAUCUUUCCAUUACCCUUACGACCCAGCUCUUGCUGACCAAAGAACCAAGCUACCCCAGGGAUAACAGCGCCAUCCCCUCCCAGAGCCCAAAUCGACGAGCGGGGUUUACGACCUCGAUGUUGGAUCAGGGCCCCCAAACAGUGCAACAGCUGUUGAAGGUUUGUUUGUUCAACAAUUAAAGCCCUACGUGAUCUGAGUUAAGACCGGAGU
Molecule: ribosomal RNA, 513 nt
Filed under: Cercosaura ocellata
Lineage: Eukaryota; Metazoa; Chordata; Lepidosauria; Squamata; Gymnophthalmidae
Description: partial 16S ribosomal RNA
Rfam family: Bacterial large subunit ribosomal RNA
Source: RNAcentral